This is an RNA transcript of Dendrobium catenatum, 684 nucleotides long. It is a transcript of the gene named NADH dehydrogenase [ubiquinone] iron-sulfur protein 5-B, with no coding region annotated. The transcript has 3 exons. The record is from RefSeq and is a predicted model, not a curated record. Lineage: Eukaryota; Viridiplantae; Streptophyta; Magnoliopsida; Asparagales; Orchidaceae.
GUCCAAGAAAUAGGGCACGAAUCGCAAGGUAAGCUGUAGAAGAAGAGCCAGGGAAAGGAGGCAAAGACAGAAAGCUAUGGCGUCAGGUUGGGGGAUUACAGGGAACAAGGGGCGGUGCUACGACUUCUGGAUGGACUUCAGUGAGUGCAUGUCGCGUUGCCGGGAGCCCAAAGACUGCGCCUUACUCCGCGAGGACUACUUCGAGUGUCUCCACCACGCGAAAGAGUUCCGAAGGAGAAACCAAGUCUACAAAGAAGAGCAGCGUCAAAUAAGAGCAGCUGCUAGGAAGGCCAAGGAAGAUACUGAAGGUGGUGAUGGAGACCAUCACCACUAAUUUGAUUUAUAAUAGUCCUCUCUGAAGUGAUCAUCUGAAAGUGAGAGGAGAAAAACUUCGGCAGUUGACUAUUCGCUCUUGAGGACUCCCUUCUUAUUCUUAGGAACUCACCUUCGCAGACUCAAUACCAGUUCUCACAAACUUGCCUAAAGCGCUCGCCUUGGGUACUGCCAAAGGACCACAUCAGAGGUAGAGGUCACGUGUGAACCAUCCAGCUCAGCCUAGGUGUCAGUAUCAAUUUGUACUUAUUGCAUCUUAUAUGAUUUUUUUCAUUAUAUUUUAGGUGCAACAUUCAUUGUAUCCCUCUUGACCCUAUAAAUAAUGGAUGAAGAGGCAUAUUUUGAACUUCA